AGAGUUUGAUCCUGGCUCAGGAUGAACGCUGGCGGCGUGCCUAACACAUGCAAGUCGAGCGGAGUUAUUUUCAGGAAGCUUUCGGGUGGAAUGAACUUAACUUAGCGGCGGACGGGUGAGUAACGCGUGGACAACCUACCCUGUACAGGGGGAUAACAAUGGGAAACCAUUGCUAAUACCCCAUAACACCUUUUAGGGGCAUCCCUUUAAGGUCAAAGAAUUUCGGUACAGGAUGGGUCCGCGUCUGAUUAGCUAGUUGGUGAGGUAAUGGCUCACCAAGGCGACGAUCAGUAGCCGGCCUGAGAGGGUGAACGGCCACACUGGAACUGAGACACGGUCCAGACUCCUACGGGAGGCAGCAGUGGGGAAUAUUGCACAAUGGGCGAAAGCCUGAUGCAGCAACGCCGCGUGAGCGAUGAAGGCUUUCGGGUCGUAAAGCUCUGUCCUAAGGGAAGAUAAUGACGGUACCUUAGGAGGAAGCCCCGGCUAANUNCGUGCCAGCAGCCGCGGUAAUUC
This 516-nucleotide ribosomal RNA is filed under the name uncultured Clostridiaceae bacterium. RNAcentral describes it as "bacterial SSU rRNA". It matches the Rfam family "Bacterial small subunit ribosomal RNA", at positions 8 to 526 of the family's 1533-position model. The record is from RNAcentral. Lineage: Bacteria; Bacillati; Bacillota; Clostridia; Eubacteriales; Clostridiaceae.